This 611-nucleotide ribosomal RNA is filed under the name Enterobacter sp. ICBR 147. RNAcentral's name for it is "bacterial SSU rRNA". It matches the Rfam family "Bacterial small subunit ribosomal RNA", at positions 152 to 745 of the family's 1533-position model. Lineage: Bacteria; Pseudomonadati; Pseudomonadota; Gammaproteobacteria; Enterobacterales; Enterobacteriaceae. The record is from RNAcentral.
GGAAACGGUAGCUAAUACCGCCAUAACGUCGCCAAGACCAAAGAGGGGGGACCUUCGGGGCCUCUUGCCAUCAGAUGUGCCCAGAAUGGGAUUAGCUAGUAGGUGGGGUAACGGCUCCACCCUAGGCGACGCAUCCCUAGCUGGUUCUGAGAGGAUGACCCAGCCCACACUGGAACUGAGACACGGUCCAGACUCCUACGGGAGGCAGCCAGUGGGGAAUAUUGCACAAUGGGCGCAAGCCUGAUGCAGCCAUGCCGCGUGUAUGAAGAAGGCCUUCGGGUUGUAAAGUACUUUCAGCGGGGAGGAAGGUGUUGAGGUUAAUAACCUCAGCAAUUGACGUUACCCGCAGAAGAAGCACCGGCUAACUCCGUGCCAGCAGCCGCGGUAAUACGGAGGGUGCAAGCGUUAAUCGGAAUUACUGGGCGUAAAGCGCACGCAGGCGGUCUGUCAAGUCGGAAUGUGAAAUCCCCGGGCUCAACCUGGGAACUGCAUUCGAAACUGGCAGGCUAGAGUCUUGUAGAGGGGGGUAGAAUUCCAGGUGUAGCGGUGAAAUGCGUAGAGAUCUGGAGGAAURCCGGUGGCGAAGGCGGCCCCCUGGACAAAGACUGACG